Molecule: non-coding RNA, 26 nt
Filed under: Homo sapiens (human)
Lineage: Eukaryota; Metazoa; Chordata; Mammalia; Primates; Hominidae
Source: RNAcentral
UUACCUGCCUGAUGUGAACAAUAAAA